Micropterus dolomieu (smallmouth bass) is the source of this 610-nucleotide long non-coding RNA. RefSeq lists it as uncharacterized. Lineage: Eukaryota; Metazoa; Chordata; Actinopteri; Centrarchiformes; Centrarchidae. The transcript is spliced from 3 exons. The record is from RefSeq and is a predicted model, not a curated record.
UUCGGUGCCUAAACCCAACCAAGCUGCAACCGCUUCAUAUCAUCAACAAAGCCUCUGGCGCUUACAGGCAGGGUAGCAAAGUUGCUUCUGAAACACUUUUUGUCAUAUUUGCUGAAACUGUCUUUAAACACCAAUGCAUAUUAAAAAGUUAGGUGCUCUGAAAAAGACAGUAUAAAAAUCGGCUGUCUGUAGUCCUUUCAGGGCUGCAGUAAACACAGACACUCGUUUCAUUCGGACCGAAUGCAAUGAUUGGCUGGCUGGCUGUCACUCUCCCUCGCUGCCAUGGCUACCAGCCGCGCUGCUACAGGAGCUGCCCCCGUGCGCGCACCCGCUCAGCUCGCUCAGACCCGACGAGCGAAGCGGUCAGACCAUAGGUAAUAUCUGCGUGGCUUUUCAACGAUAAUGACUCACAACUGAGGAACACCAAGGGGCUGAAAAGUUGCACCGUGGUGGCUUUAUUUCUGCUGGACAGUAUACGCUGAUCGGACCAUGCUGGCUGACCUGGAUCACAACCACCAUGUCCACAGUCCAGCCAGGAGAAAAAAGCUUAUGACACAAUUCAGUACAGCAAGGUGUACAACAAAAAGUCCAUGAAGUGGACUGAAGGUGG